GUGCGGGACGGGUGAGUCAACACGUGGGCAACCUACCUUCAUCAGUUUGGGCAUCAACUCCGGGCAAACCGGGGCUAAUACCGAAUAAUCUCAUACUUCAUGGUGAAAUACUGAAAGACGGUCGGCUGUCGCUAUAGAUGGGCCCGCGGCGCAUAGCUAGUUUGGUCGAAGGGUAACGGCUUCAACCAAGGGCGACCGAAUGCCGUAAGCCCGGACCCUNGAGAAGGGGUUGAAUCCGGGCCAACCACUUGGGGGAACUGGAAGAACCACCGGGCCCAAGAAACUCCCUAACGGGGGAAGGGCAGCAGGUUCAGGGGAAAUCUUUCCACCAAAUGGGGGCCGAAAGGCCCUUGAUUGGAAGCAACCGCCGGCGUAGAGUGAAGAACGGUCUCUCGGAUCGUAAAACUCUUGUUUGUACAGGGAAGACACAAGGUACAGUAGUAAACUUGGGCUGUACCUUUGGACGGGUAACCUUUAUUUAGACAAGCCCACGGGUUAAACUACCG
RNAcentral lists this ribosomal RNA (506 nucleotides) under uncultured bacterium. RNAcentral's name for it is "partial 16S ribosomal RNA". The record is from RNAcentral.